This 718-nucleotide long non-coding RNA is filed under the name Crocodylus porosus (Australian saltwater crocodile). RNAcentral's name for it is "lncRNA (ENSCPRG00005007973.1)". Lineage: Eukaryota; Metazoa; Chordata; Crocodylia; Crocodylidae. The record is from RNAcentral.
GCUGGCCAAUUAGUGUGACGUGAACUAAAUGAUGAGAGCCCCAGAUAUUUUCUCUCAGGUAAGAAUUGAGAACGAGAUUGCAGGUUCCUGAUAAUGGCCACAGCAUGUUUUGUUUAUCUCCACUUUUGUCCACUGGAAAAGGAAAGUGAAACCCUCCGUGUAUUCUGUGGUGUGAGUUAAGGUUCUUCACUGGGAUCCUACUGAGUAACUCAGAAAAGUGUAAAAAAAAUACUGAAUGUCUGAAUACAACUGAAAUGCCCAAAUCACCAUCAUCUUUAUGAGCUGGACAGUAAAUGAAAGCAUUGAUGAUCCUGAAUAUGAGCCAGGGCCUUCAGAUCAUUGCAACUUACUUUGUGAAGAAAAAGAGGAAGUCAUAACCAUAACUUGAAGGGAAAGUGAAAAUGUCAGGUCAGGAUUCAAUGGAAGAAGGUGACUCAGUGUGUCAGUGGGAGAAGACUCAUGAGAGCUCUAGACAGAAGGAACAGCCCGGUGAGAAUGACCGCUUCCUAAAUGUGCUGCAGUUUGUAAUACCACAUUGCUCUGAAUCCUGUACACAUGGAAAAUCAUCCUUGCCUAAGAAGUGAGAUUUGCUACCACUCCAUAGUUGGAGUGAAUUUAAAUCGCCCAGCACAAGGUUGUUGUUAGAUACAAGCUGAGGAGAAAGGACAUUGCCUGUACAAACAAAUAUGGGUGAAGACUGAAAUCCAUAUGAACCGAG